Myotis brandtii (Brandt's bat) is the source of this 75-nucleotide non-coding RNA. Lineage: Eukaryota; Metazoa; Chordata; Mammalia; Chiroptera; Vespertilionidae. The record is from Rfam.
AGCGUUUCUCAGGCGACGCACCCUGGAAUUGGGCUCCCUCCUCUCUGGUUCUGGGUGUGUCAGCCAAGAACUACA